Long non-coding RNA from Bubalus bubalis (water buffalo), 4769 nucleotides. RefSeq lists it as uncharacterized. The record is from RefSeq and is a predicted model, not a curated record. NCBI's taxonomy places the organism in Eukaryota, Metazoa, Chordata, Mammalia, Artiodactyla, Bovidae. The transcript is spliced from 2 exons.
CAGGCCACAGUCCAUGGGGUCGUAAAGAGUCAGACAUGACUGAGCACACACACACACACACACACGCAUGCACACACGCAGUAAGAGCAUGUGCAACUUUAUAAGAAGCUGCCAAACUGUUUUCCAAAGUGGAUGUUAUCAUUUUGUGUCCCCAGCAGCAAAGACUGAGAGUUCUGUUUGCUUCUGAAGAGGGUUUAAUGGAUGGGUAAAUGCUUUGCAAAGAGUGGGGUUACUACUCAGAUGCCAAGGUGGGAGAAUUUAGAAGAGGUUGUUCUAAACUCAACUCCUCUGGGCUCCCAGCCCAUCUGCUGUUUGCAGACAGAGUAUUUCCAAGAAGAAAUACUUUCAAGAGGGAAUACGUGAGCACCACUCUACUCAUUUUGCAAAUGAGGGUGUGGCACUGCCUCUCUUGGAUGAGCCAUCCAUGGUCUUGUAUUUUAUUCCUGGAUUCACAAAGUAAAUGAAGUAUGGGCAUUUGGAAUGUUGCUAUGCUAUGUGGCAAGAACUAGCCAGAGAAACAUAUCCAGAUGUACAAUCGGAAUGUCAGGGCUAGUGGGGACCUUAAAAGCUCUCACUUUGGACAUGAUGACCUAUCACACACCCAGAACCCCAGAAUUCCAGCCCAGGACUCUUUGUCUCCCAGAUUCAGGGCAGGGUCCCAGCAAUGGUAAACUGGGACGGGCUUAUGGGUCAUGGCAGCUGUGUGCCCAGGAACAGAAAUGAGGCUAAAUGCUAGGUACACUGUGGCCAGAGUGCCUGCAUUCCAGCUUGCAUCCCCCAAGCCUUCACUUCCUUUAUUUUAGUGCCCAGUUCUGAGGCACCUUCACAUUUCAAAUGUCCUGAGAAUAUGUUUAAUUAGAACUUGGCCAUACAGCCUUUUAAAAUAAAACAGAAGGGACCAGCUAAUUAUAUCGCUCAGCAUUCUGCGGCAAACAUAUAUUUUUUAAUAAAACACUUUCCUAACCAGAGGAAUCCCCUGAGAGGCAGAUCCUCAUUUAUAAGAAGUUUCCCAAAGGGACUUAAAGAUGCCUUAUAAAGAAAGGAGACAAAGAGAGUAAGGAAGUGUUUUCCAAGAGCUUUUAAAAGAUACGCUCAUUCUGAGGUUGAAGUCCAGAUAUUUUAAAGAUGUAAAUUUUUUGUUCAAGUGUCUUAUAAUAAUUUCCUUUUUUUAAUAUAAUUUAUAUAUUCCCUUUCCCCUUUUUGAUUAUUACUAUAAAUACCCAUAUUUCUUAUCCAGAUUCUUUUUUUAAUAAGUACAAUAUUUAAAUAAACAAGUGAUUUUCUCACAAUGCACUCCAUUUCGCACUGGUUCCCACCCCCUCCUCCAGCUCUGCGGCUAUGCACCCACGCCCUUCUCAAUUCAUUUUGUUAUAGCCCCAUUUAAAAAGAAGCAAAAUAAAUAGGUGCGCUUCAUUCAAUUAGAUAUUUUAUUUAACUAAUCAUAGCCCCCAAAGUAUCAUUUCAACAUGUAAUCAAUAUAAAAUGAUUAGUAAUAGAUUUUUGUAUUCUUUUUUCAUGUAAACCUUUGAAAGCUGGUGUAUGUAUUGUAUUUACAACACAUCUCAGUUCAGAUCAGCCACGUUUCAAGUGCUCAGUGGCCACCCAAGUAGCUAAUAGCUACUGGAUGGGGCAGUGCAGGUCCAGACAAGGAGUCUUCCAGAGAAACUUGCUGUCCUUGGCAUCUUAACUUAGUCCCCAAAUCCAGCGACCAUAUGCCUCCCUCAUACCCCUUACUGGCCUUUUGUGUUGGCAGUGGGUCAGGUGGUUACAUGUAAUAUGACUACCUUACCUGGGCAUUUUUACCUCUUUCCUGCCUUGCUAAUGAUACACCACAGUAUCUCCCCAGCCCGGUUUGUUUUGGACUCAUUCAUUCAGAAACAUUUAUUGAGCACUUCCCAGAUGUUAAGCCUUGUGCCCAGCCCUGGAAAUACAGGUGAGCAGACAGACUUUUCUUGCGAAUUAAUUACAGAACUUUUCAGUGUUCUUAGGGUCUAGUGGGGAGACAGACUUUACUCAAAUAGUUAUGGAAGUCUGUAAUUUCAAACUGUGAUAAGGGCUGUGAAGGAAAUGUACAUUAAAAAAAAAAAAUGCUAACCCUUGGGUCACUGCUUGUGUGGCUUGUCCCUCAGGGUGUUUAGUAGAAGUUGUCCAGCCCCCAGCCAGGUUGUCUUGCUGAACAUUGAUAUGACAGAGGAGAGGCAGAUGAGACAAUCUCAAGAUCUCCCUGGUCCCGAGCAUCUGUAAGGAAAUUUCCAGGACCAAUAGUCACUCACCAGUUCUUAAGCCAGUGACCCAAUUCAUCCAUUUGUGUUUGUGUAGGUUGCUCAGUUGUGUCUGACUCUUUUGUGACCCUAUGGACUGUAGCCCGCCAGGCUCCUCUGUCCAUGGAAUUCUCCAGGCAAGAAUACUGGAGUGGGUUGCCAUUCUCUUCUUCAGGGCAUCUUCCCAACCUGCGAUUGAACCCAGGUCUCCCGCAUUUAGGCAGAUUCUUUACUAUCUGAGCCACCAGAGAAACCCUAUUAUGAGGCUGCUAGAACACCAGUCGUAAAGAGGAAGCAGAACACAACUCAUUCAUUCAUUCAAGCAUCAAUUCUUACCGAGUAAUCUGUGGGAUGUGAGGCCCCACUCUGGACAUUCAGGGAAGCAAGGCCAGCAUUCUCUUUGGCCAGACUACACUGCCAGCUGGGCACACUUUCCUAGAGAAGAUAACACUUUAAAGAAGAGGAAAAAUCAAUGCUGAUAGAACUCCUUCUCUGGUUCCUAAAAUGAUAUUGUCCCCCGUGGCUGGUGAUUUGAGCCUGGGACCGAGCUGGGCAGCCUGAGCCCUGCAUGGAUGCAAUCUUGCGAGCGCCUCAAACCUGGCCGGAUCAAUAAACAAGAGGCAUCGCUGAAGCCAGCUGGGUGGAGGGGGGCUGGGUUCAAGGGGCAAAGUCUACCAUUCCUCUUCUACUUCCUGAAAGAGGACAGGGACCCUCCCUUCAGUCCAAAGUCCCCAGGGACAGGGUAAUUUCAGCUGCACUUGAUGUAACCUAUACAUCACUGUCUUCUCGACCAGUUCUCAAAUUAAACUCUGAUGUAUAAAGUUAAACAAAAAUGAGAUAAAAAUUGGCAGAGGUUGAAGAGGGUCAAAGUAGUCAAAACGCAAGGUAGACCAUUGCUCCUUUUGAUUUAUGUUGUUCUGUACACUUAGAAAAAAGAAAAUUGUAAAUCUCCCUGAGACUUUUUUUUCAAUGAGAGUGAGGCAUUACUAAUUUAUUUUCAAUAGAGUCCCAGGUUUCUCAACUGGGAGGAGCGCUGGGGCUAUUGUUUCUGGUGAAGACGUCAUGGUUUGACCUCAGAAGGGGCUUGUGAUGACAGGAAAGCACCCUGCAGAAUUAGAAUUCUCAGGCAGCAGGCUUAACCAGGAUCCAGCAGCAUCGCUGAUGCCGCAGACCUCAGGGUCUGCUCUGCCUUCUCAUUUAAUCUCCACAAUCCCGGAUGAGGUGAAGCACACAGAAUUUAUCGUUCCCCUUUGAUAGCUGAGGAAACUGAGGCUUAAGGAAACUGCAUGUCUUUGAUAAAAUACCAGCAUGCCUAAGGCGCCACAGCACAGAAGUGGAGAGGACAAAGGCCCACUCUUACAGACCUCAGCUUCCAGGGAAAGAGAAAAUAGCCAAAUGAAAUGAAUAAAAAUAAAUAUGAUUACAGGUAGAAUGAAUGGCUGUGAAGAAUAUGGAGCAGGAGAAGAGAAUAGAGGUGGGGAUAUGGAAGCCAAUGGAAGGUGUAAACCAUCACUUUGAUAAUUUUGUAAGAUCACAAGGGCAGCUGUGUGGAUGAUGAAGUUAGGUGGGCAAAGGUGAGGUCAGGGGGUCAGUGAGUAGACAGGGACCCUGGUCCCAGCAGGACACAGUGGUCACUUGGCCCAUAGUACUGGCUACGGUGGGGGUGAAGAUCUAUUUUGAAGGUAGGGCAUCUGAAAAGGAGUCUUUCUUCACUGCACAGCCUGCAGUCACGUUGCAACACUGAGGUACCUGAAUCCCAAGCCAACUGCUUCUCGGGGGGAAUGAAAAAGGGGAAAGAUGGGGCUGAGAUAGCAAUAGUGGAAAGCAGGCAUUCUGGAGAGGGGUACCUGGUCCAGGCACAUUUGUGCAUGCACAUGUGUGUUUAUGAGUGUGUGUGUUGUGACACACACUUUCAGCCCUGUUUUUUCUAAUUAAUUGUGAAAAUUAACUUCCAGCGCAUUUACCUGUGUUCUUUCCUUAAGCCCUUAGUUUGUCUCUUGUCGCUGCCGCUCCACUGAAACCACUCUGUUCAAGGGCAUCCUCACCUUCCACAUUGCCCAGGUCAUGACCAAAGACCCAAGUUUCCUCACACAGUGGCAGCUCAAGGGGUUCCUGAGGCCCAUCUGCCUGGCACAUGGCAUGGAUUUCUGCACAGAGGUCACCUCUGUGGGAAGAGCCUAGGACGAGGUUUCUGUGGAUGUCAAGACCAGCCUUCAGCAACCGCAGCUGCUGCAGGGCCCACAACCUGAGCGGCUUCACAGGUUGAUGUGGUCAUCUCAGUUUCCUCAGAUGGAACGUGAGCAGAAGGGAUGUGUUCUAGCGCCAGGCCUAACCCACAAAAAGCCCCUGGGAACACUCCUCCAUUCUUGGCAGCUUCCGUCACCUGGACACAGAUGACGAUGAGGAGCCAGGGAAAAGUGAAGCCACAAACUAGAGGAAGCCUGGGUCCCUGAGUAACACUUCAAAGACUGCCACUUGAGCAGGAAAUAAACAUCAACUGUGUAGAAA